Molecule: ribosomal RNA, 497 nt
Filed under: uncultured bacterium
Lineage: Bacteria
Description: partial 16S ribosomal RNA
Rfam family: Bacterial small subunit ribosomal RNA
Source: RNAcentral
GAUGAACGCUGGCGGCGUGCCUAAUACAUGCAAGUCGAGCGAACGGGCGAGGAGCUUGCUUCUCUGAUGUUAGCGGCGGACGGGUGAGUAACACGUGGAUAACCUACCUAUAAGACUGGGAUAACUUCGGGAAACCGUAGCUAAUACCGGAUAAUAUUUUGAACCGCAUGGUUCAAAAGUGAAAGACGGUCUUGCUGUCACUUAUAGAUGGAUCCGCGCUGCAUUAGCUAGUUGGUAAGGUAACGGCUUACCAAGGCAACGAUGCAUAGCCGACCUGAGAGGGUGAUCGGCCACACUGGAACUGAGACACGGUCCAGACUCCUACGGGAGGCAGCAGUAGGGAAUCUUCCGCAAUGGGCGAAAGCCUGACGGAGCAACGCCGCGUGAGUGAUGAAGGUCUUCGGAUCGUAAAACUCUGUUAUUAGGGAAGAACAUAUGUGUAAGUAACUGUGCACAUCUUGACGGUACCUAAUCAGAAAGCCACGGCUAACUACGUG